ACAUAGGUCAUUUUUCUCUGUUCUCUGGAAUGUUGAUAAUUACACAAGAUUGUUGCGUGUCAGCUUCAAAAUAGAAUGCCAAGCCCAUAUACUACAGGACAGUUUUCCGAAUGAUACUUUAAUACGCUGGCCUACGACAUUUGCGCCGCCAGUGCUUGGAGAGGAUGUGCAUGCGGCGUUGGCAAAACGGGCGACGGACGCGAUACAGCUACGGCACUGGCGGCGGGUCCAAGAGCAAAAGAACCGUGUCCGUUGCGGGGAUCGCCAGCGUGUCGACGGACAAGAAGAACAAAAAUGAUAUAAGAAAAUUAUCGCUACCCAAAGAAUACAAAUUAAUGUGGAAUUUGGAUAACUACACAAGGUUGUUGCGUGUCAGCUUCAAAAUAGAAUGCCAAGCCCAUAUACUACAGGACAGUUUUCCGAAUGAUACUGUAAUACGCUGGCCUACGACAUUUGCGGCGCCAGUGCUUGGAGAGGAUGUGCUUGCGGCGUUGGCAAAACGGGCGACGGACGCGAUACAGUUCGUGUAUUAUCAUGAUGCAUCCUAGCUACGGCACUGGCGGCGGGUCCAAGAGCAAAAGAACCGUGUCCGUUGCGGGGAUCGCCAGCGACAAGACGGACAAGAAGAAAAAAGUUGCUAUAAGAAAAUUAUCGCCACCCAAAGAAUACAAAUUAAUUGUGGAAUGUGGAUAACUACACUAGGUUGAUGCGCAUCAGUUUACAAAAAGAAUGCCAAGCAAAUGUGCUACACCACAAUUUUCAAAACGAUACUUUAAUACGCUGGCCCACAACAUUUGAGGCGCCAGUACUUGGCAAGGAUGUGCUCGCGGCGUUGACAAAACGGGCGACGGACGCGAUAAAGGCCAAAAGAAUAUUUUCAAUACACGGAUAUUAAUUAUCCAAUAAUAUCAGAGGAGCUCAAGAAGAGUGGUUGGGUAGUAAAAAGAAAUCCAGACAUCAAACCACUGAACUAUGAGUAUUUGCUUACUACAUUGGCUUUAG
Molecule: long non-coding RNA, 1002 nt
Organism: Rhopalosiphum padi (bird cherry-oat aphid)
Lineage: Eukaryota; Metazoa; Arthropoda; Insecta; Hemiptera; Aphididae
Exons: 4
Source: RefSeq, a predicted model, not a curated record